GCAUCGGAGCCGCGGGCGGUCAGGAAUUUGACACCGGGGCAUGAAUAUUAAGCUGUUUGGCUCUAAGCCGCGUUAGCCGGAAGAGCAAUGGCUGCGGCUGCAGCAGCUUCUCACCUGAACCUGGAUGCUCUCCGGGAAGUGCUAGAAUGCCCCAUCUGCAUGGAGUCUUUCACUGAAGAGCAGCUGCGGCCCAAGCUGCUGCACUGUGGCCAUACCAUCUGCCGCCAGUGUCUGGAGAAGCUCCUGGCCAGUAGCAUCAAUGGUGUCCGCUGUCCCUUUUGCAGCAAGAUUACUCGCAUCACCAGCCUGACCCAGCUGACCGACAACCUGACGGUGCUGAAGAUUAUUGACACAGCUGAGCUCAGUGAGGCCGUCGGGAAGCUCAUGUGUCGAGCCUGCGGUCGGCGGCUGCCUCGCCAGUUCUGCCGAAGCUGUGCUUUGGUGUUGUGUGAACCCUGCCGGGAGGCAGAUCACCAAUCUCCGGGCCACUGCACACUUCCUGUCAAGGAAGCAGCCGAGGAACGGAGGAGGGACUUCGGGGAGAAGUUGACUCGCCUAAGGGAACUUACAGGAGAGCUGCAGAGGAGGAAAGCAGCCUUGGAGGGUGUCUCCAGGGAUCUUCAGGCAAGAUAUAAGGCUGUUCUUCAAGAAUAUGGCCGUGAGGAGCGCAGGGUCCAGGAAGAGCUAGCCCGCUCUCGGAAGUUCUUCACAGGCUCUUUGGCUGAGGUUGAGAAGUCCAACAGUCAAGUGGUAGAGGACCAGAGCUACCUACUCAACAUUGCGGAGGUGCAGGCCCUGUCUCGUUGUGACUACUUUCUAGCUAAGAUCAAGCAAGCUGAUGUAGCAAUCCUGGAGGAGACAGCUGAUGAGGAGGAGCCAGAGCUCACCGCCAGCCUACCCCGGGAGCUUACCCUGCAAGAUGUGGAGCUUCUUAAAGUACGGCAUGUUGGUCCUCUGCAAAUUGGCCAGGCUGUUAAGAAGCCCCAGACAGUUAACAUGGAAGAUUCCUGCGCAGUGGAGGAGGGAGCUGCAGCCUCGCCUCAGCCUCUGUAACCUUUAGAAAGACCUGUGAAACAGCGGAGUUCUGAGGCAGCCUCCAGUAUCCAACAGUGUCUGUGUCUCAAGAAGAUGGGGGCGAAAGGCAGCACUCCAGGCAUGUUCAAUUUUCCAGUCAGUCUCUAUGUGACCAGUCAGAGUGAGGUGCUGGUUGCCGACGGGGUAACUAUUGCAUACAAGUGUUCAACCGAAAAGGCUUUUUGAAGGAGAUCGGCCGCAAUCCCGGUGGCAUUGACAACUUUGUGCUAAGCUUCCUUGGAACCUGACUUGCCCAGUCUCACUCCUCUUUCAGUGGCCAUGAACUGCCAUGGGCUGAUUGGUGUCACUGAUGGCUAUGACAACUCCUUUAAAGUCUAUACCUUGGAUGGCCACUGUGUGACCUGUCACAGGAGCCAGCUGAGCAAAGCAUGGGGCAUCACAGCCUUACCCUCUGGCCAGUUCGUGGUGACUGAUGUGCAAGGCGGGAAGCUCUGGUGUUUCACAGUAGACCGAGGAGCAGGAGUAGUCAAAUACAGUUGCCUCUGACAUGCUGUGAGGCCCGUUUGUCACCUGUGAUGCUGAAGGCACAGUCUACUUCACCCAAGGCUUGGGUCUCAAUGUGGAGAACCAACAGAAGGAACACCACCUGGAGGGUGGCUUCUCCAUCAGCUCCGUGGGCCAGGACAGGCAGCUGGACCGGCAGAUCAGUCACUUCUUCUCUGAGAAUGAAGAUUUCCUCCAUUGCAUCACUGGCAUGUGUGUGUGUGGAUGCUCGGGUGACCUCACUGUCGCUGAUAGCAGCUGCAAGGAAAUUCUCCAUUUUCCCAAGGGCUGUGGCUACAGCAUCCUUAUUAGAGAGGACCUUUACCUAUCCAGCGGGCAUCGCCCUCACACCCAAGGGACAGCUGCUGGUCUUGGACUGUUGGGAUCACUGCGUCAAGAUCUACAGCUGCCAUCUGAGAAGAUAUCCCACCCCGUUAAAAGAUGAGAAAUACCCGUUUCUUCUUUCCCCCAACUGAGUUUCCUUCCCCUUCCUUUGUGGUUGGUGGUGCUGUAGAGUAAAUGUGUCCUGUGUCCUGAUGGUUGCUCUAGAAUCGUAGAUGUUCUAGCGUUCAGUGGUUUCGUUUGUUAUGCCCCUCUUCCCCUCCCCCUCCCCUUCUUUCCUUCUAAAUUUAGAGCUUAGAGCUUUAAAGGGUACCUUAUCCCAAAUAGAAUAGAUGACAAUGCUCUUAGCAGAAGUUGCUUAGAAGUUAGGCCCUUCCAAGGCUUCAGUAAAAAAAAAAAAAAAACGACUUCAGCCUUUGGCCUUGUGUUUGAAAUUUGUAUUGGUAUUGAAUGGUCAUUGAUCUUUCCCUUUGGACUCUGAGGUCCCUAGUCUACUGUCUCCUUCCUGUUACGGUGUGCUUCAUCUGUGGCGUUAACUCUGGCUGCAUUCUGUGUGCAUGCUCCAGUGGGAUCUGCUUGACCCUUCAGUGAUAUUAUAUCUUCGUAGCAUGGUGUCUCCUUUGAUCACCUUUACCAGUGUGAGAGUGUAUCAUUAAGUGCCACCGAAGGUGACACAUGGUCCUUUGGGAAGCAGGACCUCUUGACUGGGGAAUUUCUGCCACCAUAGAUUGUCUUCUCAUGGCAGAUGAGCCAGAGGAUGGUUUGAGUGACCCUAGUUGGAUGGUGUUGAAUAAUUCAGUCUAGCAAUCAGUUGCCUUCUAAAAGAGUUUGCAGGGCAGAAUUAUGCCAUAGCCGAGGCAGAUGGGAACAUACAAGCAGAUGCUAACAUAUCCAGCAAAUGUGGGCUAUUUUCUAGGGCUCAAAACAUACUCCUUCCUCUGACCAAUGCUAAGAGUUAUUGGAAGAAUUUUAUAAUGUGGGCUUCUACCAACAAUGUGGGAAGGUCAACACAUCCGUUUUCAUCACUAAAGAACAAACCAUUAGGUAGCUAACUCUGUGUUUUGUUCAAGUGAGUGCAUAUUGUUUGACUUUGAGGUUUAUUUCUGUUGUAUCAAGCAUUAAACUAAUAAAACUAAUAACUUUCUUCAAAAAAAAAAAACAGAGCUAUUUUUCCUCUUUAUCUACCCUCUCCCUCGUUUUAACUUUUCUUAGCAUAUUAUUGCCUAACAUUUUUUAGGCCCAAUGACUCCCCCCACCCCACUCCCAUUUUUCUUGUUUAAUUUUGAAGGACUCAGUUUUACUUGACAUCCUGGUUAUUUCCCAGGGUGCUCUCUGGCUGAACUCUGUCUCUCAUCUGUCAUCCUGACACAUUCUAAUAUUAAAGGUUCUUUCAAUGAUCA
Arvicanthis niloticus (Nile rat) is the source of this 3320-nucleotide non-coding RNA. The record is from RefSeq and is a predicted model, not a curated record. Lineage: Eukaryota; Metazoa; Chordata; Mammalia; Rodentia; Muridae.